AACGAACGCUGGCGGCGUGGAUAAGACAUGCAAGUCGAACGCUAAUUAGAGGUUAGCAAUAAUCUCUAGUUGGAGUGGCGCAAGGGUGCGUAACACGUGGGUAAUCUGCCGUGAAGACUGGGAUAACUCGCUGAAAGGCGAGCUAAUACCGGAUGUGACUGUUUGGUGGCAUCACUGGACAUUCGAAGCUGGGGACCGAAAGGCCUGGCGCUUCACGAUGAGCCCGCGGCCUAUCAGCUAGUUGGUGAGGUAACGGCUCACCAAGGCUAAGACGGGUAGCUGGUCUGAGAGGACGACCAGCCACACUGGAACUGAGACACGGUCCAGACACCUACGGGUGGCAGCAGUCGAGAAUUUUUCACAAUGGGCGCAAGCCUGAUGGAGCGACGCCGCGUGGGGGAUGAAGGGUUUCGAUCCGUAAACCCCUGUCAUUUGCGAACAAACCUUGUGGGUGAAUAGCCCAUGAGCUGAUUGUAGUGAAAGAGGAAGGGACGGCUAACUCUGUGCCAGCAGCCGCGGUAAUACAGAGGUCCCAAGCGUUGUUCGGAUUCACUGGGCGUAAAGGGUGCGUAGGUGGCCAGGUAAGUUCGGUGUGAAAGCUCGGAGCUUAACUUCGAAAUGGCAUUGAAUACUAUCUGGCUAGAGGGUCGGAGGGGAGACUGGAAUUCUCGGUGUAGCAGUGAAAUGCGUAGAUAUCGAGAGGAACACCAGUGGCGAAGGCGAGUCUCUGGACGACUCCUGACACUGAGGCACGAAAGCCAGGGGAGCAAACAGGAUUAGAUACCCUGGUAGUCCUGGCUGUAAACGGUGCACGUUUGCUGUAAAGGAAUCGAC
RNAcentral lists this ribosomal RNA (834 nucleotides) under uncultured Planctomycetota bacterium. RNAcentral's name for it is "bacterial SSU rRNA". It matches the Rfam family "Bacterial small subunit ribosomal RNA", at positions 28 to 835 of the family's 1533-position model. Lineage: Bacteria; Pseudomonadati; Planctomycetota. The record is from RNAcentral.